UUAACCGUAAAAUAUCAACCUACACCGAAAUCGCCAGGGAAUUACGAGCCCAAGCUUAAAACCCAAAGGACUUGACGGUUUUUCAUCCCCCUAGAGGAGCCUGUUCUAUAAUCGAUUUUCCCCGAUCAACCUCACCCCCUCUUGAAUUUACAGCCUGUAUACCUCCGUCGCAAGCUUACCCUGUGAGCGCAUACUUAGUGAGCCUAAAGAUUUUACAUCUAUACGUCAGGUCAAGGUGCAGUCCACGAGGCGGAAAGAAAUGGGCUACAAUUUCUACCUUAGAACAAACGAAAGACUACAUGAAACAUAGUCCAAAGGCGGAUUUAGAAGUAAAAGGAAAAUAGAGAGUUCCUUUUAAUCGGGCACUGAAAUGCGUACACACCGCCCGUCACCCUCUUCAGAUAACAAAUAAUGUCACUGACACCACACACCCUCAUAGAAGAGGCAAGUCGUAACAUGGUAAGCGUACUGGAAAGUGCACUUGGAAACAAAAUGUAACUUAAUAAAAGUGUCUUGCUUACACCAAGAAUAUGUCUGUAAAACCCAAACCAUUUUGAGCUUAAAACCUAGUCCUAUUCUUAUAUAAUAAAACAUAUCCACCAAUAAAACAAACUAAAACAUUUUCCUAACCUAGUAAAGGUGAUUAAAAAGUGCCUAGGAGCCUAAACAUUAGUACCGCAAGGGAAAAGUGAAAUAAAAAUGAAAUAAAUUUAAAGCACCAUAAAGUAAAGAUAUGCCCUUGU
This 743-nucleotide ribosomal RNA is filed under the name Hylophorbus maculatus. Its description in RNAcentral is "Hylophorbus sp. ma FF-2023 partial small subunit ribosomal RNA". The stretch from base 1 to 497 matches the Rfam family "Bacterial small subunit ribosomal RNA", at positions 796 to 1533 of the family's 1533-position model. Lineage: Eukaryota; Metazoa; Chordata; Amphibia; Anura; Microhylidae. The record is from RNAcentral.